GCAGCGAAAUGCGAUAAGUAAUGUGAAUUGCAGAAUUCAGUGAAUCAUCGAAUCUUUGAACGCACAUUGCGCCCGCCAGUAUUCUGGCGGGCAUGCCUGUUCGAGCGUCAUUACAACCCUCAGGCCCCCGGGCCUGGCGUUGGGGAUCGGCGGAAGCCCCCUGCGGGCACAACGCCGUCCCCCAAAUACAGUGGCGGUCCCGCCGCAGCUUCCAUUGCGUAGUAGCUAACACCUCGCAACUGGAGAGCGGCGCGGCCACGCCGUAAAACACCCAACUUCUGAAUGUUGACCUCGAAUCAGGUAGGAAUACCCGCUGAACUUAAGCAUAUCAAUAAGCGGAGGAAAAGAAACCAACAGGGAUUGCCCCAGUAACGGCGAGUGAAGCGGCAACAGCUCAAAUUUGAAAUCUGGCUCUCGGGCCCGAGUUGUAAUUUGUAGAGGAUGCUUUUGGUGAGGUGCCUUCCGAGUUCCCUGGAACGGGACGCCAUAGAGGGUGAGAGCCCCGUCUGGUUGGACACCGAUCCUCUGUAAAGCUCCUUCGACGAGUCGAGUAGUUUGGGAAUGCUGCUCUAAAUGGGAGGUAUAUGUCUUCUAAAGC
RNAcentral lists this ribosomal RNA (598 nucleotides) under Fusarium solani. RNAcentral describes it as "eukaryotic LSU rRNA". The stretch from base 287 to 598 matches the Rfam family "Eukaryotic large subunit ribosomal RNA", at positions 1 to 316 of the family's 3401-position model. Lineage: Eukaryota; Fungi; Ascomycota; Sordariomycetes; Hypocreales; Nectriaceae. The record is from RNAcentral.